This is a long non-coding RNA of Ornithodoros turicata, 448 nucleotides long. RefSeq lists it as uncharacterized. Lineage: Eukaryota; Metazoa; Arthropoda; Arachnida; Ixodida; Argasidae. The transcript is spliced from 3 exons. The record is from RefSeq and is a predicted model, not a curated record.
UGAUGCUGCAGAAGCCCUGCUGCGUCUGCAACAGGCAGACACACCUGCUAGUGUUCCUGGAACACCUGACAUGUCAGGCACAGAAGUUGAUGAACUUGCCCUGGUGCAAGAAAAUGCUACCAAUGAUGAGGAAACUGAAUCACUACCAGGUUGCGCUGUUGGUAGCGACUUGACCAUGUCUGACAUUUCAAACAUCCAGGCCGAAAACCACAGACAGAAUGAAGAAGUGUACAGGCUGCGAUCAGAGCUGUGCAGGCACAUACUUGACGAGGACACCUUUCGUGCAAACGAAAGAAUGGUCCCAUUCUACACUGGUCUACCAAAUUUUGCGAUUUUACUUGCUGUUUUCCAUUUUUAAGAAGACAGUGUAGCGCACGGACCCUGCAACUCUCUUACUAGGUUCCAAGAGAUGAUUGUAACGCUCAUGCGAUUUAGACUCAACUCCCCA